RNAcentral lists this ribosomal RNA (251 nucleotides) under uncultured prokaryote. RNAcentral's name for it is "partial 16S rRNA". It matches the Rfam family "Bacterial small subunit ribosomal RNA", at positions 525 to 775 of the family's 1533-position model. The record is from RNAcentral.
ACGUAGGAGGCAAGCGUUAUUCGGAUUUACUGGGCGUAAAGCGCGUGCAGGCGGUUUGGUAAGUUGGAUGUGAAAGCUCCCGGCCUAACUGGGAGAGGUCGUUCAAUACUACCAGACUAGAGGAUGGGAGAGGGAGGUGGAAUUCCGGGUGUAGUGGUGAAAUGCGUAGAUAUCCGGAGGAACACCAGUGGCGAAAGCGGCCUCCUGGCCCAUUUCUGACGCUCAGACGCGAAAGCUAGGGUAGCAAACGG